UACGUAGGGUGCGAGCGUUAAUCGGAAUUACUGGGCGUAAAGCGUGCGCAGGCGGUUAUGUAAGACAGAUGUGAAAUCCCCGGGCUUAACCUGGGAACUGCGUUUGUGACUGCAUAACUAGAGUACGGCAGAGGGGGGUGGAAUUCCUGGUGUAGCAGUGAAAUGCGUAGAUAUCAGGAGGAACAUCGAUGGCGAAGGCAGCCCCCUGGGCCUGUACUGACGCUCAUGCACGAAAGCUAGGGGAGCAAACAGG
Molecule: ribosomal RNA, 253 nt
Filed under: uncultured bacterium
Lineage: Bacteria
Description: partial 16S ribosomal RNA
Rfam family: Bacterial small subunit ribosomal RNA
Source: RNAcentral